UGGAAAAAACCCUUUGGCUUUUUGUAGUUAAUUGUAAAGUCUCGUAUAAUUAAUACAGUAUUUUUGAACGAGCGAAUAAUGAAGAAGUCAAACGAUCUUUGGAUGAUAGUACUUUUUAUUACCAUAUCAAGUACUCAGCAGCCUGAAUUUUGUGAUCUACGUUGCGCAGGUUUUGGAAAUUGCUGCCCACCAGGAUAACCUAAAGGUUUUUGUUUCAGCUUAAAUGAGUUCCUGUGUCUUGUUGCUUGUUGCUUUUACAACUAGUUUUGAGUAAAUGAGCAAUUUUAAAAGCCUAUAUUCGUCAUUUAUUUUAUGGUUUGCUAAUAGCAAGUAUAAACUGUACAACGUAGUAACAUAGUGAAAUAAUGAUUGCUUCAAAUCAGUGUUUCGUUGUUUGGUUGAUUUAAAGAAAGAUUUGAUUAAAGGCAUUCCAAAUAAAAUGUUUUCUCAAAUUUAAUUGCUACUUGUUAAAAUUAUCUGCGAAUUUAUUUAUUAAAAUAUUGCACCUUUCUUAACUAACGAAAGGUUCUCAUGUUCUAAUCUGCAUUAGUUAACUCCAUUUUCUAAAUGUAAAAAAAAUUAAAAUACAGAAAGAUACCUUUUCAGAAUAUGCUUUUGUUUUUUGUUUAAUAAAAUAGUUUGUGUUGGUAAUAAAACUAUGAAAAAUUCAUAGGCCCCAUUCCAUUUAAGCAAAAUUAUCUGAGUAAAUGUGAAUUUCUAGAAAAAAAUGAGAGGGUAUUGUUGAGUAUAUAAAGUUUUAUUUAUUCGAUAUAAAAUCGCAGCUGGCUUCAACUUUGUAUAAACAAAUGUAUCAAUUUCAAAUAAAAUGCAACAACUAUUUGGCCACAAGCAUUACAUUAUAGUUCACUGAACCAAUUAAAUCAACAUUCAAACAGCAAUUUGAGGCCAGAAAACGAAUAUCAAUGCCGUUAAUUACUUUGUUUUAUGCUAAGCCUAAUGAAACGACCGUUUAAAAGGAUACAUAUUUAUAAAAUAUUUUGAAACAUAUAUAUUUAUUCAGUCCGUAUCAAAUCAUGCACUCAAGUUAAUUGCAUUUAAAUUUAAUUAGCAUUUAAUGUUUACAAAUUUUGCGGCAUAAUGGAGGGCAAUCAACGCCGUUAGGGGGAGCUAAAUAAAGGGGAUUAAAACUUAAAAGUGAGCCGAAAAUAAAUAAAAUAAAUAAACCAAUGUAAAAUUCA
Drosophila elegans is the source of this 1199-nucleotide long non-coding RNA. RefSeq lists it as uncharacterized. The transcript is spliced from 2 exons. Lineage: Eukaryota; Metazoa; Arthropoda; Insecta; Diptera; Drosophilidae. The record is from RefSeq and is a predicted model, not a curated record.